RNAcentral lists this ribosomal RNA (460 nucleotides) under uncultured bacterium. Its description in RNAcentral is "partial 16S ribosomal RNA". It matches the Rfam family "Bacterial small subunit ribosomal RNA", at positions 338 to 795 of the family's 1533-position model. The record is from RNAcentral.
CCUACGGGCGGCAGCAGUGAGGAAUAUUGGUCAAUGGGCGCGAGCCUGAACCAGCCACGUAGCGUGAAGGAUGACUGCCCUACGGGUUGUAAACUUCUUUUAUAAAGGAAUAAAGUGAGGCACGUGUGCCAUUUUGUAUGUACUUUAUGAAUAAGGAUCGGCUAACUCCGUGACAGCAGCCGCGGUAAUACGGAGGGUCCGAGCGUUAUCCGGAUUUAUUGGGUUUAAAGGGAGCGUAGAUGGGGUGGUAAGUCAGUUGUGAAAGUUUGCGGCUCAACCGUAAAAUUGCAAUUGAUACUGGCAGCCUUGAGUACAGGUGAGGUAGGCGGAAUUCGUGGUGUAGCGGUGAAAUGCUUAGAUAUCACGAAGAACUCCGAUUGCGAAGGCAGCUUACUAAACUGCCACUGACAUUGAGGCUCGAAAGUGUGGGUAGCAAACAGGAUUAGAUACCCGAGUAGUC